GCAUGUGGGAUGGGGUGUGAGUGCUCAGGGUCAGCCCCGCAGAGCCCCGAACGAAUAGCCCGAUCUUUCUGGAGCGUUUCCUGAUGGGGUUUGCGAGGAACGUCUGCUGGGAGGUUAUUCUGAGAGCUGAUUGACAUAUGCAUGGGCAGAUGUUUUAUAAACUGCAUUCUCUACAAACUGAAGGGGCAAAUGUGAUGGAUUCCAAGGCUCCACAAGACAUUAUCAUGGUCAAUGUCCAGCAGACCAGAUAUGGGGUGAUCAAUUGUUUGAAGGUAAAAGUUGUCAAGAAUAACUUUAGACUUUGCUGGGAAUGCAAUAUCUUCUGACAAGGAGGAGUUGGCUGGAACAGCCUGGGCUCUGUACCUGUCCCUCAGAUGUCCUUUGGUGCUUUAGCCCAGUGACUCAUCGAUCUCCCAGAUUGAAGUUUGCUGGGAGAUUCCAACUGACCUGGAAGUUGCUGGAUUGAUGGGAAGAGAUCCUUCUAAUCUUAGAAGAAUUCUUGGAAUGGCUCAGAAAUAGAAACUCAAGAAGCAGAGGGAUUUAAUUACACAGGA
RNAcentral lists this long non-coding RNA (554 nucleotides) under Homo sapiens (human). Its description in RNAcentral is "HSALNT0386606". Lineage: Eukaryota; Metazoa; Chordata; Mammalia; Primates; Hominidae. The record is from RNAcentral.